GCCUACGACCAUAUCACCCUGAAUGCGCCCGAUCUCGUCUGAUCUCGGAAGCUAAGCAUGGUCGAGCCUGGUUAGUGCUUGGAUGGGAGACUGCCUGGGAAUACCAGGUGUUGUAGGAU
This 119-nucleotide ribosomal RNA is filed under the name Petromyzon marinus (sea lamprey). Lineage: Eukaryota; Metazoa; Chordata; Hyperoartia; Petromyzontiformes; Petromyzontidae. The record is from RNAcentral.